This 490-nucleotide ribosomal RNA is filed under the name uncultured bacterium. RNAcentral describes it as "partial 16S ribosomal RNA". It matches the Rfam family "Bacterial small subunit ribosomal RNA", at positions 30 to 507 of the family's 1533-position model. The record is from RNAcentral.
AUUGAACGCUGGCGGCAGGCCUAACACAUGCAAGUCGAACGGUAACAGGAAGAAGCUUGCUUCUUUGCUGACGAGUGGCGGACGGGUGAGUAAUGUCUGGGAAACUGCCUGAUGGAGGGGGAUAACUACUGGAAACGGUAGCUAAUACCGCAUAACGUCGCAAGACCAAAAAGGGGGACCUUCGGGCCUCUUGCCCUCGGAUGUGCCCAGAUGGGAUUAGCUAGUAGGUGGGGUAACGGCUCACCUAGGCGACGAUCCCUAGCUGGUCUGAGAGGAUGACCAGCCACACUGGAACUGAGACACGGUCCAGACUCCUACGGGAGGCAGCAGUGGGGAAUAUUGCACAAUGGGCGCAAGCCUGAUGCAGCCAUGCCGCGUGUAUGAAGAAGGCCUUCGGGUUGUAAAGUACUUUCAGCGGGGAGGAAGGGAGUAAAGUUAAUACCUUUGCUCAUUGACGUUACCCGCAGAAGAAGCACCGGCUAACUCCGUG